This is a long non-coding RNA of Glossina fuscipes, 1975 nucleotides long. RefSeq lists it as uncharacterized. The transcript has 3 exons. NCBI's taxonomy places the organism in Eukaryota, Metazoa, Arthropoda, Insecta, Diptera, Glossinidae. The record is from RefSeq and is a predicted model, not a curated record.
AAAAAUAAAUAAAUAAAUAAAUGUAAAUGUAUCUAAAUGUAAAUACGUGGAACAUGAGUAAAUUUUAUGUAAAAGCAUAUUUAAUCCAUGGUUAGCUAACGAAAUAAAGAAUGAAGAAAAAUGAUGUUAAAAGAAAGAGGUUGUAGAAGGGUUUCGCUGUGUUCAAUAAAAUAAAGAAAAAAAAUCUCUUUAAUUACUUGGAUCUGAUAAGUAUAUUUAAAAUUGGAAAUGUAUUGAGUUUAUUUCUUGUUUUUUAUUCCUUAUAAAAUAAAUAGAGCACCAAUUAGAAUGUUGAAUGGUACAAUAUAAAAAAGAUUUAAAUUAAUAAAAUAAGUAAUAGUAACAUUAACUAAGGAAAUGUUUUGUCGUAUGGAAAAAGAGCGCAGAGAAAACCUGGAACAACUCUGUACGAUACAAAGAGGCAAUAAUUAAUUUCUUACAAAAAGAAUAUAAUCGGCAUCACUUAAUAUAUCGGGUGCAAUACAAGCUCGAUGUCAUUGCUCCAGCUCUAAAAAUUGACGCAGACACUUCAAACAUGACGUAAGAGUCUUAUCGUAUGGCUUCAGCCCAAGUUAGAGAAAUAAGCGCAAUAGCACAGCACACCUAAAGAGCAGUUAAUAAUAUCGUACGAGAUAGCAUCUAACCGUAAACCGGAUAUUUUAUCAUCUCUCGUGAAACCCAAUUUGACUAAUAUAAGGAAUAAUUCGCCGCCAUACGCACUACAGCGCCCAACAGUGUCAAUAGUAAUGUACAAAUUCUCAAUUACCAACUAUAAAAUAUAGCAGCAACGAGUGAUAGCAACAGCUGGGAUCAAAAUAAGUGGUACAGUGCGAACCCUGUAGUUUUGAAUCACCAGUUAUCACUAUCUAUAUGUAUUAAGAAUCACCAACAACGAAGUACAACGCCAGAACAACAGCCUAAUAAUAUGCAUAAUAAUAAUACCAAACCUUAUAGCUAACGAUAAGCACAAAACGGUAACACGUGUGUUUCUAAAGAAUCCAUCGUAGAUUACACAUAUCCGAUGAGUUACAUUACAAAAACCACAUAGCCGAAUAGCUUGACGACAAUGUCAAAACCACUUACACCGCAAGCCUCUAGCAGCAUUAUUAGCAGCCAAAUAAAUCAAGGCGAUGAAUAGUUUAAUUGAUUUGAGUAAUCAGGAUAUUUUAAAAUUUCUAAAAUAGAGCAGUAAAAAUUAAAAAAUUAAUCCUAGACGAAAACAGAAAAAGUGAUAUGAUCGUUUUUCUUUUUUUGUUUUAUUUGUUGUGCGUAUGUGCGUAUGAUUUGUCGAGUAUAUUAAAAACGACAACAAAAGUAUGAAGCUUUAUGGAAAUUACUGAUCUAAAAAUGGUUCUUUAAUAUUGGUUAGAACUUUACGCAUUUAGUGCUGCUUUAUUGUAUGCGGCCGUUAGAGUAUCUUUUUCACAUGCUUAACAGAAUUCUAUAAAAACUCUGCCUCUACAUGUUACUUAGGUCUUACGAUAAUAAUGUUAUCUUCAUUCUUAUAUCCAGAAUUAAUAGCACCACAAUAUUUGGUGACAUUUCUUUAUCAAGAGAACAAACACCCCCAAGCCUACUUAACAUUUUAGGUACAAAUAUACGGAAUGUACGUUGCGUUGUAGAGAUCCUUUGGAUGUAGGUAGCCAAGACGUCAUUUUUAGAAGGAUAAUGGUCUGCAAAUAGGAACAGAGCUCAACGUUUAUGUUCGUGCGAUAGUUUUAACAAAUUGUAAUCAAUUUACUCAAAAUUAUUAACGUAAACGGUAUGGAAUCAAAGAUUUUACUUCAGCUCUCGUAUCAACGCGGGCUGACGAUUGUAUGCCUUCAAAAAUUAAAGAACGAAUUUCGCCACCUUAGAACGGCUGAGGUACCUACGAAGAUACGGAGGGCAAUUGUCAGUGUCAGUGGAACCGAAAGCCGAUUUCAAAAAGUUCAUACAAUUGGAUCGCUUUGCUUUACAUUAUGGCGCGAAACUU